UAAAUAUUUAAUUAUUAUUUUUUUUUGUUAUGAAAGUAAUCUUUUAUUUUAGUAAAUGAUAUUGAAAUUUUUUUUUUAAUUAUAAAUAAAUAGUAAAGUGAUUGAAAUUUGAAAUAAAUUUUAUUUUCAAGAAAGAAGAAUUUAUUUUUUGUACCUUGUGUAUCAGGGUUUAUUUAUUAAUAAUUAUUUAUUUAAUUUUCUCGAAUUAGAAAGAGCUAAUUAAUUAUUUAUUUAAUUGUAAAAUAAAUUUUUUAAAUAAUUUUUUUGUAAUGAAACGUUAUUCGUUUUCUAAUAUAUCUAGUUUUUUAAGAAAAGAAUUUAAUUCUAUUGUUUUUUUUUUAAUUUUAUUUUUUAAUCUUAAGAAUUUAACAUUAAACAUUUAAUGGGAUGAGCUUUUAAAUGUAAAUCUAAAAUUUUAUUUUAAUUGAUUAUUUGUACGAUUAAUAUUGUCGAUCUAUAUAAUAAUAUUAUAGUUAAUUCUCAUUUUAAUUUGAUUUAUAUUUCUAUUAGAUUUUAUAUUAAAAUAUUAACUUAAAUUUAUUUUGUUUAGUAAUAAUGAUUAAAUUAGUAAAUUUAUUUUGUUUAAAUUGUUAAUUUUGUUAGGUUAUUAAAAGGAAUUCGGCAAAUUUAUUUUUCGCCUGUUUAUUAAAAACAUGUCUUUUUGAUUAUAAUUUAAGGUUUAAUCUGCUCAAUGAGGAUUUAAAUUGCCGCGGUAUCUUGACCGUGCAAAGGUAGCAUAAUAAUUAGUUUUUUUAUUGAAAGCUGGAAUGAAGGAUUGGACGAGAAAAUUACUGUCUCUAAAUAAUUUAUUUUUGAAUUUAACUUUUAGGUCAAAAGGCCUAAAUUUAACUUAAAGACGAGAAGACCCUAUAGAGUUUAAUAUUUUUAUUAAUUAAUAGUUUUUGGUUAUUAUAUUUAUUAUUUAUUAAAAUUAUUUGGUUGGGGUGACUUAAAGAUUUAAUAAACUCUUUAUUUUAAAUCAUUGAUUUUUGAAUUUAUAAUCUAAUAAUUUUAAAUUUAAAAUAAAUUACCUUAGGGAUAACAGCGUAAUUUCUUUUUAAAGUUCUUAUUGAAAAAGAAGAUUGCGACCUCGAUGUUGGAUUAAAAUUUAUUUUAGGUGUAGAAGCUUAAAGAUUAGGUCUGUUCGACCUUUAAAAUUUUACAUGAUCUGAGUUUAAACCGGUGUGAGCCAGGUUGGUUUCUAUCUUAAUUUACUUAUUAUGUUUUAGUACGAAAGGACCAAACAUUUAAUAUAAUUUAUUUUUAUUUUGAAUAUUAAU
This 1280-nucleotide ribosomal RNA is filed under the name Limonius minutus. RNAcentral's name for it is "16S ribosomal RNA". The stretch from base 1038 to 1196 matches the Rfam family "Archaeal large subunit ribosomal RNA", at positions 2542 to 2701 of the family's 2987-position model. The record is from RNAcentral. Lineage: Eukaryota; Metazoa; Arthropoda; Insecta; Coleoptera; Elateridae.